Molecule: RNA transcript, 10239 nt
Organism: Serinus canaria (Common canary)
Lineage: Eukaryota; Metazoa; Chordata; Aves; Passeriformes; Fringillidae
Gene: PRKAA2
Gene name: protein kinase AMP-activated catalytic subunit alpha 2
Exons: 10
Source: RefSeq, a predicted model, not a curated record
GUGGGAGAUGCAGCGCUCGCCCCUCGCUGGUCCGGGCUGCCGCAGCCCGCGCUGCGAGCAGCACCCACCCAAACUUUGCUCCCGCGCUCCAAGGGAGGUGAUGGGGAGGCUGGAGGCGCACCGGCAUCCUGCCCCUCCGUGCCGGGAAUGCUCUGCUCGCUGCCGUCUUUCCCAGGGCCCGCAGGUGCUCCGUGGAGCUCCGGGAGCCGAGGCGGUUCGUGCUCCGAGCAUCCCCCCGCGGACCGAGCGGCUCCCGCGGGAUGGAGGGGCCAGGCGGGCAGCGAUGAGCCGGCUGCGCCUGCACCUGGGGAAGGGAAGGCUCCAAAGCCACCAGAGAGCACCUUCCAGUGCCUGGAGGGGCUGCAAGAGAGCUGGAGAGGGAGUUCUGGCAGGGCGUGGAGUGGUGGGGCGUGGGGGAAUUGCUUCGUGCUGACAGCGGGCAGGGUUAGGUGAAAUAUUGGGGAGAAAUUGUUCCCUGUGCAGGUGGAGAGGCUCUGGCGCCGGUUGCCCAGGGAAAAUGUGGCUGCUCCAUCUCUGGAAGUGUUCAAAGCCAGGUUGGACAGGGCUUGGAGCAACCUGGCAUAGUCAGAGGUGUUCCUGCCCAUGGCAGGGGAGGGAUGAGAUGAACUUUAAGGUUUCUUCCAUUCCAAACCAUUCCAGGAUUGCAGGAUGGGGGACUGUGUCAGGCUGGGGCUCCACACAGGGAUUCCUUGUCCAGCCAUGCCAGAGCAGCCAGCUCACAUCCUGAGGGCUUUGCUUUACCUGGCUGUGAGGUUUGCAAAUAUUUGUAUUUCUUUUUUUUCCCUGUGGAUUCUGCCAUUACGUGCAAAUUUCAGUUUUUAAACAAGAUACUAAAAAGACAGAAAACCAAAAUUCAGUCUAAGCUGUGUUUCCCAGUUGGAAAUGGGUUUAGCUUGAGCUGGGGGAGCAGCUGUCCCACUCAGUGUCCCCCCACCCCACUGGGAUGUGGCUGGGCCAAGGGGUGCUGUGCCUGCCCUCAGUUCCUGGAGUUUUAAAAUAAACCCAAAUUGACAGCAGAUGAAAGAAACCACCACAACCACUGCAGCUAAGUCCACCUGUGGCCAUUAAUCACGCCCCUAAAAAUAUAUUGCUGUGUUUAAUCCCAAACCACAAAUUUACUGUCUAAAGAAUUAUCAGAAUAAAUACUUCUAACAGUGAGGACCAUUUAAAUCACUCCUGUGUACUAGCAGACCUCAAAACUGCUCCAGAGGUAGGUUUUUUUCCUUGCAGACCAAUUUAAACCUGCCAACAAUAGCCUUUUUUAUCUUGAACUAGCACAAAUACCCCCUACCCCACAUAUGACCCGAGUGUGGUAAAACCUGACAUUUUCCAAAGAAAUAUUUCAAAUAACAUAAAAGAGAUUUCCUAGCUCAAAAUCCUUUUAUAGGUGAGUAUACCCUUUCUAUGUUUUUUUUCCCUUAAUGUUUUGCCUACAACUGACAGGUGAAGUUUGUGCUUGAGACUGGGAACUGAAAUGAAGAAAUGGAAUCUCCCAUUUAUAUGGAAUUACAGCAUUUUAAUCAAAUGAGCUUUAGAAAAAACUUGUAUUCACUUGAGAAAAGUGGAGGUUUUUUGUUGAUUGAUUCAAGCAUUGUGUGUUGGGUGUAAUAAUUGCUGUUUCAGGGAGAAGUCAGGUGCCAUCAGUGAUACUUCUUGUUGCUGUUGUGUUUUCUUCAAAUUCUGCCUUGCACGAGGUUUUGGUUUUGGUGCUUUUUGCUGCCUUACUCGUCAAAGUUAAGAAAUCAUAAUUUACAGCUGUGCAAGAUUAUUGUUAUUAGGGACAAUGAAGGGGAGGAUUUAGUGACAUGGGGUACAAACCAGGGCUUCAACUCAUGGCUGGAGCUGAGGAGUCAUUUGGAGCCAUCAGGAGCCAGAGACACGACAGAAAAAGUCCCUGACUGCCUGGGUCAUCGGGGAGCUGAUCCUCCUAAAAACUGACUGAACACUGCAAGAAACUCUUUUGUUUAAGCCCAUUCAGUUUCUUGAUCUCAUUUACAAAAAGUCCAGGCAAGGCACAGAGGGGAGCAAAGAGGCUGGCAGCUGAGGGCAGGAUUUUGGUGCUAAUGCUGAAAUUCCAUCUGGAAGUGGGGAUGAGCACCCAGCAUCUGUUAGAAGAGAGGAAGGUGGCAGGAGAUGAUGUGGUGGAUGGACAGGAGGUGUCACGUCAAGACUUGAAGUUACCACGCAGCAUUUUUACCAAAUGUUGUUAUUUUCCCUGUCCUCGAGGCCAAAGAUAAUUUGCAGGAAAAAAAAAAAAAAUUCUGAUUUAUAGAAAAUCAGAAUAAUUUGCAGAAAUAGAACUGUAGAGAAGGUCUUGGAUUUGGGAGUUUAGCUAAAUCUUGGAGGAAGGAAGAGGCAAAUCCUUCCCAGGGGGUUGGCAAGAACAGAUGAGACAGAUUGUGUUUGCUUUGGGUAUGUCCCACCCUGUGGGUCCCCAAAAUCUCUGCUGUGACCACAGUGAGGUUCACAGUAGUAACCCAGAUAUUUUGUCUGUUUGAUGCCACCCACAGCAUCCCUGGGGGCUUUGGGAGGGUCCUUUGCCUGGCUUGUUUGCCACAAAAAUGACAGAUUUGAGGUCCCUCGAAGACUUGGGUUGUGUUUGUGUCACCUCUGUGGGCUCCAGUUGGGAUCAGGUCCCAUUUUUCCCAGGCAUUGCUGCUAAAAGACAAACUUGGUGUCAGAGGGAAGAUAAACUAAAGGAGACUGAGCAGAGGAAGGACAGGGAGAGGCUGAGACAGCACACAAGCAAGUGGCACUGGGGCAGAAUUAAUACAGCAUUGCUAAAUAUAUGCUUUGGAUGGAUUUCAUUUUUAACUUUGGGCUGAGAUAAGGGCCAGCAGAGCUGAUAGGGAGAGGAGUUUCCUCACCCCUCCACAGAGCUUCUACAUUGCCCUGAAGCAUUUGCAAAAAUGUUAACUGCUUGUGCUGCCUGAGCUGGUGGGAUAAAGAAAGUGAUGCAGAAAUCCAUGCUGUCAGGGGGUUUUAUUUCUUAUCUGUGCUCUUGGUGCUAUAAUCACUAUUCCUCCUCUUUUUUUUUUUUUUUUUUUUCCUUUUAUAAAAAUAAGUAAAUGCCAAGAGUCCCCUUUUCCCUUUUUGAAUCUGGGGAGGCAGUGAGGGGAAGGAGGUGUCCUCACCACUGCCCACCCUUGGGGUGAGGAUCCUCUGCCAUGCCCAUGGCAGAUCUGGGACCUGCCCUUCAUUUCUGGGAUGAUCCUCACUUCAGAGACUCUGUGAGCAGGGGGAAGAGUUGUUCAUACUGCCCAUGUCUAAACUCCUGCAGUGCAGAGAGCCCUCAAAGGCUUAAAAUUCUCCCACCACAUAGGAAAUUGUGUUCCCUCUUUGUCUCUCUUCUCUCACUGAGUUCAAGGAGGCUUAACAAGUCACUGGGGACAGAAACAAUAAUAUCUCUGUAUCUAAUGCUUACUGUAAGCAAAAGAUGGAUUACAAAAUAGGCUGUUUAUUUUUAAUUAUUAAUGUGUUUGUGCUAGCAAACCUUUGCAGAGUUACACAUUGUUUGUCACGGAUGGGAAAGGGGAUGAACUAUUUGGCAAUAGUAUUAAAAACAAUAAUUAUUCAUUCUGGGCAUGGCCAUUUUUUUUUUUUCCCCUAGUGUAUAAUAAAAAAAAUUUCAAAGCAUAUGCUGAGGCAAGGCCAGAAAGUGUUGUCCUGAAACAAAGGGUGGUAGAAAUCAGGGUUUUCCUCCUAGUUUAGUGAAAAAACUUUGCUUUACCUCCCUGCAGCACUGCCCUGCUCUCCUCUCCCUGAGGAUUCACCAGGGAAAAUGCCUCCCUGGACUAUUUACAGCUCUCUCCUUGCACUGCACCAGAGGAAUUAUCUGCCUCCUCCAGCCCUUAGCUAAUCCCUAAAUUGCAUCUCUGCUGCAAAGCUGAGUUUAUUUUCAUUCCUUCAUCUAGUAGUUUUAAGUAUUACGAGGAAUAAAAUGGACAUGCAAAGUGGUGCUUUAAUUUUCAAGGGCAGUGAAGUGUUUUAUUUUUAGGAUGCUCUUUUUGAGGAAAGAAUCUCUGGCAGGUCUUAUCUGGUGGCUAAGAAUAGUGACCUGGUGUGCCCUGAGUGCUGCUGCCCUGCCCUUCUCACACCUCCUGCUUACCCCGGGUGCUUCUGAUCAGCUCAUUAGGGCUGCCAAAAUUACAGGCCCUAAUAAUGUAAUAACAAGGUUUGCUGGCAAUAAUUAACUCCUUGCACUGGAAGGGUGAUGUUGGUAAUUAGAGAGCACAAAUAUUUACUGUGAGCAGGUUUUUCUGUGCAGGCUUUAGGAAACCAUCCGUGUGUCAUUCUCUUGAAUAUCAUGUUGGAAAACACUGAGAAGGGGCUGCUUGCUCUGAGAACAGUUUUGGGUAUAAACACCACGUUUUUAAACUCUUUCUGCUCUCAAUUUCAAUAUAAAUCUUACUUCAUGAGAGCCUUUUAUUUUUUUGUGUGGUUUGUUUAUUGAUAACAAAUGCAUCCCACGCUGAAUUAGUUUCACAUCAUUAAUAACAAUUCCUCCAGUGACAGUGGGGCUGCUCCUCCCAGUUUUUGGGUAUGAUUUUUCCCUGAGAACAGGAGAUAAACAUCAGCAUCUCAAUGCACCAAGUACAUUUUUUAAAAAUACCCAUAUUGAAGUUUGCAUCUUGCCUAAAGCAGAGUUUGCUCCUGCAGUCCAGCAGUGUUCCUGCAGCUUGUCAUCAAAGCAAGAAGCACGCUGGGGGAAGUAUAAAUAGAAAUUCAUUUUAGUAAUGCAAAUCCUGCAGUCCUAUUUUGGGCAAGGAAAAUCCCCAUACCAUUUUAAAAAAAAAAAGUAGUGUGAUGGUCUAGUUUUAAGACUGGGUUUAUGAGGGAUUUUGUCUACCAGUGUGCUAUGGUGGAGAUUCUCCUCUGCCAUUUAAAUAUAUCUGUUUCUGAUUCAUCUAGCUUUUACAUGCUAUAAAUCCUUGCAAAUUAGCUUGGGGUAUGACCUCCUCCAGCAGCUCACUCUUUUUUUUAGUGCAGUGUUUUUGGCAGAUAAGUUCCCUCUCUUCUGCCUUCUAUGACUCCACUGGGAAAACAGUGAGGAGACAAAACCUUUAAAAUAUUUCACACCCUCAUCUGCUUUUUUCCCCCUUCAGAAGUGGCUUUUUGCUUAUAGUGCCCUAAACUUCUUGUGUGAGCCCUGCUGCGCUGUUUAGUGACUUUGCAAUGCUCUCUCUCUCUCUCUAAUAGUUGGUGAGCACCAGCUGACAGGGCACAAAGUGGCAGUGAAAAUACUGAACAGGCAGAAAAUCCGCAGCCUGGACGUGGUGGGGAAGAUCAAACGAGAAAUCCAAAACCUGAAACUCUUCCGGCACCCUCACAUCAUCAAACUACAUAAGUUUUGAAAGUCUCCACUUUGAUGAACCUGAGUUGGGGUCGUAAAUCAGCACCUGCACUGCAGCCUCUGGGAUUCCUGCUCAAUCCCCAGCUUGUGCAGCCAGCCCACAUUAAUGAGGCACUCGAUAAUAUCUUUGGCAUUCCUAUAAAAGAAAGCUGUUGAAUGGUAACUGCAAGGGUACCAGGUCAUCAGCACACCAUCAGACUUCUUCAUGGUCAUGGAAUACGUGUCCGGGGGGGAAUUGUUUGAUUACAUCUGUAAGCACGGACGUGUCGAGGAGGCAGAAGCUCGGCGCCUUUUCCAGCAGAUCCUCUCUGCAGUGGAUUACUGCCACAGGCACAUGGUGGUGCACAGGGACCUGAAGCCAGAGAAUGUGCUGCUGGAUGCCCACAUGAAUGCAAAGAUAGCUGAUUUUGGGCUGUCCAACAUGAUGUCAGAUGGUGAAUUUCUACGCACCAGCUGUGGUUCCCCAAAUUAUGCAGCCCCUGAAGUCAUCUCUGGAAGGCUCUAUGCUGGCCCAGAGGUGGACAUCUGGAGCUGUGGUGUCAUCCUCUACGCCCUCCUGUGUGGCACUCUGCCUUUUGAUGACGAGCACGUCCCCACCCUGUUCAAGAAGAUCCGUGGGGGAGUGUUUUAUAUCCCUGAAUACCUCAACCGCUCCGUGGCCACGCUCCUCAUGCACAUGCUGCAGGUGGACCCCCUCAAGAGAGCCACCAUCAAGGACAUCAGGGAACACGAGUGGUUCAAGGAGGAGCUGCCCAGUUACCUGUUCCCAGAGGACCCUUCCUACGACGCCACGGUCAUCGACGACGAGGCGGUGCGCGAGGUGUGCGAGAAGUUCGAGUGCACCGAGUCGGAGGUGAUGAACAGCCUGUACAGCGGCGACCCCCAGGACCAGCUGGCCGUGGCCUACCACCUGGUCAUCGACAACCGCCGCAUCAUGAACCAGGCCAGCGAGUUCUACCUGGCCUCCAGCCCCCCCACCGGCUCCUUCAUGGACGACAGCGCCCUGCACAUCCCGCCGGGCGUGAAGCCGCACCCCGAGCGGAUGCCGCCGCUCAUCGCCGACAGCCCCAAGGCCCGCUGCCCCCUGGACGCCCUCAACACCACCAAGCCAAAGCCCCUGACUGUCAAAAAGGCCAAGUGGCACCUGGGGAUCCGCAGCCAGAGCAAGCCCUACGACAUUAUGGCCGAGGUGUACCGGGCUAUGAAGCAGCUGGACUUUGAGUGGAAGGUGGUGAACGCCUACCACCUGCGGGUGCGCCGCAAGAACCCCGUCACCGGCAACUACGUGAAGAUGAGCCUGCAGCUCUACCAGGUGGACAACCGCAGCUAUCUGCUGGACUUCAAAAGCAUCGAUGACGAGGUGAUGGAGCAGAGGUCUGGCUCCUCCACGCCCCAGCGCUCCUGCUCGGCCGCGGGCUUGCACCGGCCGCGCCUGAGCAUCGACGCGGCGGCGGCCACCGAGUGCCAGUCGCUGAUGGGCUCCCUGAGCGGCUCCUUCGUGGGCAGCAUCCCCUCGGUGCCCCCUCGCCUGGGCAGCCACACCAUGGACUUCUUCGAGAUGUGUGCCAGCCUCAUCAUGGCCCUGGCCCGCUGAUGGCCCCUCUGCACACUGUGAGGAUCUGCGCUGACUCGGCCGCCCCCUCCUUUCUUUUGCUUCCUUGCUCUUCCCCCUCCUCCUCCCCUCACUGCCCCACAGAGCCAAGUCCAGACCCAAAACAUGCUCCCCUCUAGCAAGGCACCAAGGAAAUUAACUUAAUUCUUCUCCUUGUGCCUGGCGAAAUGUAUCCGAUACUCUUUUUUCUUCUUUCCUUCUGAACCCCAUGGGAAAUGUUAAGGCUGUAAAGUAACAAAUGUUAUCACUGAGUUUUUGGAAAACACCUCCCCCCUGGUUCAUCCUGAGGUAAUGGAGGCACAGCCACGCUUCCUGCAGGGAGUUUAAUGUUUCCCUGAUGCUGUGCAGAGCAGGGGCAGGCUGGGCUGAGCCAGGGCAGAGGCGUUGACCAGGAGCUCUGUGAGAUGGAGUGGAGGGUGAUGAAGCAGCUCUGCAGCCUUCACACCCAGGUGCCAGCCUCUCUCACACUUCUCUCCCCAAAGCAGCAGCUGCUUAGGUGCUUCUGCACUAGUGCAAUAUGACCUCCCUCCCCUCUCUUUUUCCCUCUGCUGAAGAUGGGCAGGAAAGGUGGGACGUGCAAAGGUCCUGGUGCAAACCUGCCGUGGGGAGGCCACUCUUUGCAGAGGAAUGUCCCUAAGGUGCAGUCUGUGUCCCUGUCCACUCUUUGCAGAGGAGUGUCCCUAAGGUGCAGUCUGUGUCCCUGUCCACUCUUUGCAGAGGAGUGUCCCUAAGGUGCAGUCUGUGUCCCUGUCCACUCUUUGCAGAGGAGUGUCCCUAAGGUGCAGGCUGUGUCCCUGUCCACUCUUUGCAGAGGAGUGUCCCUAAGGUGCAGGCUGUGUCCCUGCCCACUCUUUGCAGAGGAGUGUCCCUAAGGUGCAGGCUGUGUCCCUGCCCACUCUUUGCAGAGGAGUGUCCCUAAGGUGCUUUAUUUUGCCCAAGGGCUCUGGACAGCACUGAGCUGCUCCCCACACUCGGAGCUGAAGGCAGACUGCCUUUUUCUCCCCUCCCUCCAGCCUGCUCCCCCUCCCCUGCCUCACCAGGGCUCCAGGGGCUGAAUCCCAAGCAGGGUUCAGGUGAGCAGAGACAGGAUCUGGAUCACCCACCUGAGGACCCAGCACUUCCCCCGAGGGUUGGGAUCAUCCCAGGAGCCAUCAGCAGCGCACAGCUCCGGAGCACUCACCUCUCACCUUUCCCCUAGGAUGCUCUGCCUGUUGUCACUCCCCAAAAUCACUGCCAAAUCUGCCUUCCCUGCUGCUGGACACUCACUGCCCCUGCCCAAGGGCUCUCCUGUCCUGCUGCUGCUGCCCACAGGACCGUGACCUUCGCUGCUCCGCUGACCAGGCAGGGAUAUCCCAACCCGGAAUUUUACUGUUCCUUUGCAACUGGCUAUCUGAAGGAUGGGAUUUUAUUUUUUAAAUUGAACUGCAGGGAUUUUUAAGGUUAAAUUCUUGUUACCCAAGGGUAAACCCUAAUGCAUGUGUGACUUCUUUGUUUAAAAGAGUUAUUAUUUUUUAUUUCAUGGGAUUAGUCUAACGGGCAGCGUUGGCAUCUGCUUGGCUUUGACAUGGUAUUUAAUUCCAUUUACUUGAUUAUGAAGUAAUAGUCUGAUCAAGGAACAAAUGCUUUAUGAAAGCUUUGCCAAAAACAUGUUGGGUGAGGGGUUUGGUUUUGUUCUGCUUUUUUUUUUUCUUUUGUGUUCUGUUUUAAGAAACAAAGCAAAGAACUUUUGCUGGUCCCAGGUAUGCAGUCAUUUGACUUGAAAAAUAAUGCAAUCUGUCUUUUUGAUAGUUUCUUAUGACCCCUUGAGGUUUUUUCCUAGGGUUUUCUUUUUUGUACAGUUGCACUUUAAUUUAUACUUUCUGCAAGUUUGUAUGAGAAGCAAGGAAGAGAACAACAAAUUAAGCCUUUUUUACUAAUCAUUUAAGGUAAUCAAGACAAACAUGGGAUAUUUUGCCAUCUACUGGCAGUUAAACGGACUUUUUCAGUUUGAAGUCCCUUUUUUUUAAAAAAGAACCACAAAAUUGCCUUACUUUUGUUACAGAUUGUGCUUGGAUCCUCACUAACUUGACUUUACAGCUGCAAUUUUUCCAGAAGCCGCACAAAGUAGAAAGCUUCCAAAAAAAAAAAAAGAAAAAAAGAAAAAAAAAAAGAAAAAAAUCAGUUUUGCUGUUAAGCUCUUGAACACUAAAUCCAACAGCAGUGGACUGUAAGAAAUACUGGAAAAAUUUGUAGUGCUCCUAGGGUUUGUAAUGAGCCUUUUAUUAUGUUAUGAUUAUUAAAUAAAUACUCUGGGGUGAGGAUGGCUUUGGUGCUGUGCCUGGUGGCUGCCAGGUGAUUUGUGUCCCCAGUGCUGUGGUGUGAGUUUGGAUGGAGAAUCCAAACUCCUGCAUGCAAAAAAAAAAAAUCCAAACCCCACCCCAGAGUCAAAGCUGAGGAACACCCAGCCCUUGAGCAGCUUUUGGAUCAAGGCUGAGAUUUGGGGUGAUGGAGAUAAACCCCUUUGCAGAGGAGCAGGAGCAGCUGUAGGGGCAGACAUUAAUUUCCAUCCAGGAAACAGGAAUGAAAUGAAGUGAAAUGUAUUUCAAAUGUAUUUCAAAGGCUUUUCAAAUCUUCACUCCCAGCUGAGCAUUUUGCCAAGUCCUGGCAGCACCUGUAGCCCCCUUGAUAAGGGGCUGGUGUGUUCCAGUCUGGGGCUCAGGAGCAGGUAGAUGUACUGAUGUCUUUUUUCAAAUUGACUCUUGUCCUCUGGGAUUUCCUACCCAGCAGAACUAAUAGUAUUAAGCAGCAGCAAAUGCCCUUGGGAGGAAAUAUUUGCUUCCUGGAGGCGGGUGGGAUUUCUAGGUUGCAGAAUAAGCCCCUUGUGGCACUUGGCGUCUUCUCCGACCCGUGCAAACAUUAACUGCUGUGUGGAUCUGCAGAACCAGUCCUGCCUGCAGGGCAGUCAGAGUUACUCAGCUUUCCAUAUGCAGAGACACAAAGAGAUGAAGCACUUCCCUGCUCAGGGUCAGCAGAGGCAGUGGAGGGAGCAGGACUGCUGGAAGCACCUCCCCAGUGACCACGAGUGGCUGGUCCUUCACAGCCUUGCCCAAAUCCGUGCUGCACUUUGGAACACUCUGAGGACUUUCACUUCUUUUUGUUAUUUAUUUUACCUUCAAAUAGGCUGUGUUCUGUUUCUGCUGCAGAGGAGCUGCUGACCUCCAGUUACAUUUUCCAGAGGAAGAGUUUAACUUCCACACUGUUACACUGUGGUCAG